This 155-nucleotide ribosomal RNA is filed under the name Rhizopus microsporus. RNAcentral's name for it is "5.8S ribosomal RNA". It matches the Rfam family "5.8S ribosomal RNA". Rfam says of the family: 5.8S ribosomal RNA (5.8S rRNA) is a component of the large subunit of the eukaryotic ribosome. Lineage: Eukaryota; Fungi; Mucoromycota; Mucoromycetes; Mucorales; Rhizopodaceae. The record is from RNAcentral.
AACUUUUAACAAUGGAUCUCUUGGUUCUCGCAUCGAUGAAGAACGUAGCAAAGUGCGAUAACUAGUGUGAAUUGCAUAUUCGUGAAUCAUCGAGUCUUUGAACGCAGCUUGCACUCUAUGGAUCUUCUAUAGAGUACGCUUGCUUCAGUAUCAUA